UUGCCAGACUCCUACGGGAGGCAGCAGUGAGGAAUAUUGGUCAAUGGGCGGGAGCCUGAACCAGCCAAGUCGCGUGAGGGAAGACGGUCCUACGGAUUGUAAACCUCUUUUGCCGGGGAGCAACGGGGUCCUUGCGAGGGCCCAAUGAGAGUACCCGGAGAAAAAGCAUCGGCUAACUCCGUGCCAGCAGCCGCGGUAAUACGGAGGAUGCGAGCGUUAUCCGGAUUUAUUGGGUUUAAAGGGUGCGCAGGCGGAAGAUCAAGUCAGGGGUAAAAUUGAGGGGCUCAACCUCUUCGAGCCGUUGAAACUGGUUUUCUUGAGUGAGCGAGAAGUAUGCGGAAUGCGUGGUGUAGCGGUGAAAUGCAUAGAUAUCACGCAGAACUCCGAUUGCGAAGGCAGCAUACCGGCGCCCAACUGACGCUGAAGCACGAAAGCGUGGGUAUCGAACAGGAUUAGAUACCCGUGUAA
This 468-nucleotide ribosomal RNA is filed under the name uncultured bacterium. RNAcentral's name for it is "bacterial SSU rRNA". It matches the Rfam family "Bacterial small subunit ribosomal RNA", at positions 328 to 793 of the family's 1533-position model. The record is from RNAcentral.